AGAGGGUGCGAGCGUUGUCCGGAAUCACUGGGCGUAAAGGGCGCGUAGGUGGCCUGGUAAGUAGGGGGUGAAAUCUCGAGGCUCAACUUCGAGGCUGCCUCCUAAACUGUCAGGCUCGAGCAGAGUAGAGGCAGGUGGAAUUCCCGGUGUAGCGGUGGAAUGCGUAGAGAUCGGGAAGAACAUCGGUGGCGAAGGCGGCCUGCUGGGCUCUUGCUGACACUGAUGCGCGACAGCGUGGGGAGCAAACAGGAUUAGAUACCCUGGUAGUCCACGCCGUAAACGAUGGGUACUAGGCGCCGGGGGGAGCGACCCCUUCGGUGCCGUCGCUAACGCAAUAAGUACCCCGCCUGGGGAGUACGGCCGCAAGG
This 368-nucleotide ribosomal RNA is filed under the name uncultured bacterium. RNAcentral's name for it is "bacterial SSU rRNA". It matches the Rfam family "Bacterial small subunit ribosomal RNA", at positions 527 to 893 of the family's 1533-position model. The record is from RNAcentral.